This 30-nucleotide non-coding RNA is filed under the name Mus musculus (house mouse). Lineage: Eukaryota; Metazoa; Chordata; Mammalia; Rodentia; Muridae. The record is from RNAcentral.
UUUAAGUGCAAUAGUAAACUGACUAGGGUU